This 766-nucleotide ribosomal RNA is filed under the name Loekoesia yuchiorum. RNAcentral's name for it is "partial large subunit ribosomal RNA". It matches the Rfam family "Eukaryotic large subunit ribosomal RNA", at positions 162 to 943 of the family's 3401-position model. The record is from RNAcentral. Lineage: Eukaryota; Fungi; Ascomycota; Lecanoromycetes; Teloschistales; Teloschistaceae.
UUUCGGGCGCGAAGCCGGUCUAAGUUCCUUGGAACGGGGCGUCAUAGAGGGUGAGAAUCCCGUAUGUGACCGGCGAUCAAGCCUAUGUGAAACUCCUUCGACGAGUCGAGUUGUUUGGGAAUGCAGCUCAAAAUGGGUGGUAAAUUUCAUCUAAAGCUAAAUACUGGCCAGAGACCGAUAGCGCACAAGUAGAGUGAUCGAAAGAUGAAAAGCACUUUGGAAAGAGAGUCAAAAAGUACGUGAAAUUGUUGAAAGGGAAGCGCUUGCAACCAGACCUGCCCGCGGGCGAUCAGCCGUCCCUCCGGGGUGGUGCACGCGCCCGCGAUCAGGCCAGCAUCGGUUCGGGCGGCCGGAUAAAGUCCUCGGGAACGUAGCUCCCCUCGGGGAGUGUUAUAGCCCGGGGCGCAAUGCGGCCCGCCUGGACCGAGGACCGCGCUUCGGCUAGGAUGCUGGCGUAAUGGUUGUAAGCGGCCCGUCUUGAAACACGGACCAAGGAGUCUAACAUCUAUGCGAGUGUUUGGGCGUCAAACCCUUACGCGCAAUGAAAGUGAACGGAGGUGGGAACCCCUUCGAGGGCGCACCAUCGACCGAUCCUGAUGUCCUCGGAUGGAUUUGAGUACGAGCAUAGCUGUUGGGACCCGAAAGAUGGUGAACUAUGCCUGAAUAGGGUGAAGCCAGAGGAAACUCUGGUGGAGGCUCGCAGCGGUUCUGACGUGCAAAUCGAUCGUCAAAUUUGGGUAUAGGGGCGAAAGACUAAUCGAACCAU